Molecule: long non-coding RNA, 1337 nt
Organism: Musa acuminata AAA Group (dessert banana)
Lineage: Eukaryota; Viridiplantae; Streptophyta; Magnoliopsida; Zingiberales; Musaceae
Exons: 2
Source: RefSeq, a predicted model, not a curated record
UUGCUGACGUACUUAUUUGUCGUUCUCGAAACCCUUUGUCUCGUCGUAGAAGCGUCCCCUUCGUCUCCCAACCUCCGAUACGCCUGCGGCUGGAAUCGGACCUCCCCUCCCUCCAGAUUCGCUGCCGUCUGACUGCUUCCCGUUAGAAUCGCGGCCGUCAACUCAGAUGCGCCCUGAUUAGGGCUAAGCCGGCAGACUAGUACACGAGGCUCCGCCUCAUUAGGAAGUCGAGGAGGUCAACAGCGCCCGCGCCCAAAGACGCACAUGUUGUCAAGCUUAAGGAAACUUUAAAGAGGUGAAGUAAUCGAGUUAGAAGCAAGAUCCAGAAGCCAAAUCAGCCAAUAUCAGAACGUAGCAUCGUAGAUCUAUUCCUUUUGUGACUGGUGGUACGUCCCCUUCUACCGCAGUACUGAAUUAAUUGUUCGACUUUAGAUGAAUCACUUGUCUCUUUAGACAAGUAAAUCCUGUGAGAUCUGGCAUUGUAUGUAGCAGAGGAACGAUGAAUAGGCUCAUGGUUAUGGAAUCUCUGCUCUCUACAGUUCUGUGAAACAGUGAAAAAUGCCAACUCUUCAGCUACUGUGCUGUAAGUAAUCAAAACAAUGGAGGUCACGAGAGUUCCUGCUAUAGGGUUAUGCCUUCAAUUGUCUCCUGGACCAUGCUGACUUUCUACUUGAGAUGGCCUGCAUUAUCUAAGCUUGGUCAAGCGACCAGCUUUUUACUUGCUGAUCUUCAUCACUUAUUCUUGUCAUUACAAGCAGAUUCGUUUCUUGUCUGAUCUUUUAAACCUUGGUAAAUGCAGGAGUUGCUUACGAUCAUUUCUCUAUCAUUAAAGUAAAUACGUUUGACCAAUGCAGAAUCUAAGGAGGACAAUGCAGACCGUUCUACCCCUAUAAAUGGAGAUACUAUUUUCAUGACUUCAAUCUUGGUCGCUCAGAUUAUAAGAUUUGUCUUUAAACUAAAUUGUCUGGUAGUAAAAGUACACAAUAUUGCUCCCAUGAUUGAUUGGAUUGGAUUUUAGAUGCAGACUUACUCUCUCAGCGUUGCUAAGAACCUAGAUGUUUGAGUUAGCCUCAUCCAAGGUUGCUCACAUUUUAAUGGAGGAGACUGUUCUUAGUCUAAACUUCACAGCGACCUUUUGUAUCCCUUCAUCUAGUAACCUAUUUUGCUAACUGCCCAAAAGUGAAGUUACAUUAUCAUGACGAAAUUAUCAUUAAUGUGUCCUAUCAGAAAAAUGAAAGACAUUAUAGGGAUUAUAGAUUUGAGGGUUCUAAUAUGCUGCUACAUAUUUUGUUUGAGUUAAUAUAUUGUUUUCUUUUAUGACCUAUGCUGUUGUCACA